CCCCGGGAGGGGGUGGUCAUCACGAGGAACAGAGAUGGCCCAGCAGACAUUUGGCCUCUAGAUCCUUUGAAUGGAGCGUGGUUCCGAGUUGAGACAAAUUACGACCACUGGAAGCCAGCACCCAAGGAAGAUGACCGGAGAACAUCUGCCAUCAAGGCCCUUAAUGCUACAGGACAAGCAAACCUCAGCCUGGAGGCACUUUUCCAGAUGAUUUUUUAAAAAAUGAAAUUCUUGAAGAGCUGCACCUUAAAAAAUAAGACAAAGUGAAAGUAUUGUAUUAUGUUACAAACAAUGCAGGCUCCUUCCUCAUUUAACUUUACAACCUUGCGAAGUGGGUCCAGGAGAUUUGGAGUUUGUGGUAAAGCCAGUAAUGGGCAUUGUCCUGCAUUCCCUUCCCUUCAUGGUUUGCCUCGAUCCUCUCUAAGCUUCUAUCCUGGCCUGAAUAACUCAAAGAUAAUUGGUCUCAGAGAUCAAGCCAUAUCCUCAGGCCUUAUUUCCAUCUUCUCAUGAUUCUGCCAUCAUACCUUUGCUUCUCCGCUAAUGAAAUGAGCUGGCAAGACCUCUGUUCAUUGUGAAG
This 577-nucleotide long non-coding RNA is filed under the name Homo sapiens (human). RNAcentral describes it as "non-protein coding lnc-PPEF2-2:1". Lineage: Eukaryota; Metazoa; Chordata; Mammalia; Primates; Hominidae. The record is from RNAcentral.